Molecule: transfer RNA, 71 nt
Filed under: Spirochaetota bacterium
Lineage: Bacteria; Pseudomonadati; Spirochaetota
Description: Spirochaetes bacterium tRNA-Gln
Rfam family: tRNA
About the family: Transfer RNA (tRNA) molecules are approximately 80 nucleotides in length.
Source: RNAcentral
UCACGUCUCGUCCAAGGGCAGGACAGCGGUCUCUGAAGCCGUUAAUCGGGGUUCGAAUCCCUGGACGUGAA